GGGAGUUUAGUCAAGAGGCU
RNAcentral lists this unclassified non-coding RNA (20 nucleotides) under Dictyostelium discoideum. Lineage: Eukaryota; Evosea; Eumycetozoa; Dictyosteliales; Dictyosteliaceae. The record is from RNAcentral.